RNAcentral lists this ribosomal RNA (348 nucleotides) under uncultured bacterium. RNAcentral's name for it is "partial 16S ribosomal RNA". It matches the Rfam family "Bacterial small subunit ribosomal RNA", at positions 338 to 703 of the family's 1533-position model. The record is from RNAcentral.
CCUACGGGUGGCAGCAGUGGGGAAUAUUGCACAAUGGGGGAAACCCUGAUGCAGCGAUGCCGCGUGGAGGAAGAAGGUUUUCGGAGUGUAAACUCCUUUUAGCAGGGACGAGAAGGACGGUACCUGAAGAAAAAGCUCCGGCUAACUACGUGCCAGCAGCCGCGGUAAUACGUAGGGAGCGAGCGUUGUCCGGAAUUACUGGGUGUAAAGGGAGCGUAGGCGGGACGGCAAGUCAGAUGGGAAAACUGAGGGCUCAACUUUCAGACUGCAUUUGAAACUGCUGUUCUUGAGUGAAGUAGCGGUAAGCUGACUUCCUAUUGUCGCUGUUACCUGCGUCGUUAUUAGGAG